NNNNNNNNNNNNNNNNNNNNNNNNNNNNNNNNNACCACCCUCAGGACACUGCUGACCACCCCUGGGACCACCCUUGGGACACUGCUGACCACCCCAGGGACCACCCUUGGGACACUGCUGACCACCCCCAGGACACUGCUGACCACCCCAGGGACCACCCCCAGGACCACGCCCCAGAUGGGGCUGGGAACAUCUCCCAGGAGUGCCAAAGCCAUGGAUCCACGUUUGAGAACAUCUUCCAGGUGUCCACAGAAGGGUCCAUCCCACCCAAACCCAUGACCAUGGAUGAGAACAUCCCACCCAAAUCCGUGUCUAUGGAUGAGGACAUCCCACCCAAAUCCAUGUCCAUGGAUGGGAACAUCUUCCAGGUGUCCACAGAUGGGUCCAUCCCACCCAAACCCACGGCCAUGGAUGAGAACAUCUUCCAGGUACGAACUGAUGGGUCCAUCCCACCCAAGUCCACGGAUGAGAACAUUUUCCAGGUGUCCACAGAUGGUUCCAUCCCACCCAAGUCCAUGGCCAUGGAUGAGAACAUCUUCCAGGUACGAACUGAUGAGUCCAUCCCACCCAAGUCCACGGUCAUGGAUGAGAACAUCUUCCAGGUACGAACUGAUGGGUUCAUCCCACCCAAAUCCACGGAUGAGAAGGUCUCACCUGAGCCCAUGACCAUGGAUGGGAGCAUCUUCCAGCAGCACCAAUUCCAUGGAUCCACCUAUGGGAGCAUCUUCCAGGUGUCCACAGAUGGGUCCAUCCCACCCAAAGCUACGCCCAGAGAUGAGGACAUCCCACCCAAAUCCAUGUCCAUGGAUGAGGACAUCCCACCCAAUUCCAUGCCCAAGAAUGAGGACAUCCCACCCAAAUCCGUGACCAUGGAUGGGAGCACCUUCCAGAACCUCCAAAGCCAUGGAUCCACGUUUGAGGACAUCUUCCAGGUCUCCAUGGGUGUGGACAUCCCACCCAAAAACAUGACCAUGGAUAAGGACAUCCCACCCAAAUCCAUGUCCAUGGAUGGGAACAUUUUCCAGGUGUCCACAGAUGGGUCCAUCCCACCCAAGUCCAUGUCCAUGGAUGAGAACAUCUUCCAGGUACGAACUGAUGGGUCCAUCCCACCCAAGUCCAUGUCCAUGGAUGAGAACAUUUUCCAGGUGUCCACAGAUGGGUCCAUCCCACCCAAACCCAUGACCAUGGAUGAGAACAUCUUCCAGGUGUCCACAGAUGGGUCCAUCCCACCCAAAUCCAUGGAUGAGAACAUCUUCCAGGUGUCCGCAGAUGGGUCCACCCCACCCAAAUCCAUGGCCAGGGAUGAGAGCACCUUCCAGGAGGAACGGGGCCACAGAUCCACAUUUGAGGACAUCUUCCAGGUGUCCAUGGAUGAGUCCAUCCCACCCAAAAACACGACCAUGGAUGAAGACAUCCCACCCAAGUCCACGGUCAUGGAUGAGAACAUCUUCCAGGUACGAACUGAUGGAUCCAUCCCACCCAAAUCCACGGAUGAGAACAUUUUCCAGGUGUCCACAGAUGGUUCCAUCCCACCCAAAUCCAUGGAUGAGAACAUCUUCCAGGUACGAACUGAUGGGUCCAUCCCACCCAAAUCCACGGAUGAGAACAUUUUCCAGAUGUCCACUGAUGGGUUCAUCCCACCCAAAUCCACGGAUGAGAAGGUCUCACCUGAGCCCAUGACCAUGGAUGGGAGCAUCUUCCAGCAGCACCAAUUCCAUGGAUCCACCUAUGGGAGCAUCUUCCAGGUGUCCACAGAUGGGUCCAUCCCACCCAAAUCCACGGCCAGGGAUGAGAGCACCUUCCAGGAGGAACGGGGCUAUGGAUCCACAUUUGAGGACAUCUUCCAGGUGUCCAUGGAUGAGUCCAUCCCACCCAAAAACACGACCAUGGAUGAAGACAUCCCACCCAAGUCCACGGUCAUGGAUGAGAACAUCUUCCAGGUACGAACUGAUGGGUCCAUCCCACCCAAAUCCACGGAUGAGAACAUUUUCCAGAUGUCCACUGAUGGGUUCAUCCCACCCAAAUCCACGGAUGAGAAGGUCUCACCUGAGCCCAUGACCAUGGAUGGGAGCAUCUUCCAGCAGCACCAAUUCCAUGGAUCCACCUAUGGGAGCAUCUUCCAGGUGUCCACAGAUGGGUCCAUCCCACCCAAAGCUACGCCCAGAGAUGAGGACAUCCCACUCAAAUCCAUGUCCAUGGAUGAGCACAUCCCACCCAAAUCCAUGUCCAUGGAUGAGGACAUCCCACCCAAAUCCAUGCCCAAGAAUGAGGACAUCUUACCCAAAUCCAUGUCCAUGGAUGGGAGCACCUUCCAGGAGCUCCAAAGCCAUGGAUCCACGUUUGAGGACAUCUUCCAGGUCUCCAUGGGUGUGGACAUCCCACCUAAAUCCAUGAACAUGGAUAAGGACAUCCCACCCCAAGCCAUUCCUGUGGACCAAAGCUUUGAGCUCCUCUUGGGGAGCAUCUUCAACAUGGGUGGGGACACCUCCCGUGGCCAGGUGACAACAGAUGGGGCCACCUCAGCCAAUCCCGUGGCCACGGAUGGGAACGACCUGUGCGGGUGCUGGGAGCUCGAGCUGAUGGACAGGAACGUCUCACCUGAUGUCACCGAGGCUGGGGACAUCUCAUCAUGGACGGUGACCAGGGAUGGGGACAUCUCCCACACAUCUGUGGGUGAUGACAUCUCAUCGUGGAUGGUGACCAGGGAUGGGGACAUCUCCCACACAUCUGUGGGUGGGGACAUCUCAUCGUGGAUGGUGACCAGGGAUGGGACCCACUUGUCCAAGACCGUGACCAUGAGUGGGACCACCUCACCCAACUCCAUGACCCCAGAUGGGACCUUCUCUCCAGAGCACCUGGCCAUGGAUUCAAGGAUCUCAGCUGAGUCUGUGACCACGGAUGGGACC
Molecule: long non-coding RNA, 2906 nt
Filed under: Cyanistes caeruleus (blue tit)
Lineage: Eukaryota; Metazoa; Chordata; Aves; Passeriformes; Paridae
Description: lncRNA (ENSCCEG00000018870.1)
Source: RNAcentral